AGACGAAGGUGGCAACCGUUGUUCGGAAUCACUGGGCAUAAAGCGCACGUAGGCGGGAGUGCAAGUCGGGUGUGAAAUCCCUCGGCCCAACCGAGGAACUGCGCCCGAAACUGCAUUUCUUGAGGACAGAAGGGGAGCGUGGAAUUCCUGGUGGAGCGGUGAAAUGCGUUGAUAUCAGGAGGAACACCGGCGGCGAAGGCGACGCUCUGGUCUGUUUCUGACGCUAAGGUGCGAAAGCCAGGGGAGCAAACGGGAUUAGAAACCCCGGUAGUCC
RNAcentral lists this ribosomal RNA (274 nucleotides) under uncultured bacterium. Its description in RNAcentral is "partial 16S ribosomal RNA". It matches the Rfam family "Bacterial small subunit ribosomal RNA", at positions 523 to 796 of the family's 1533-position model. The record is from RNAcentral.